AGUCUGCAUUUCUCAUGUCUUUGAGAUUGAAAGGUGGAUGAGAGAGAGAGAGAGAAAGAGAGAGGCUCUGCAUCCCCAAGCUGCUUCCAGCGUGGGCUCCACUCUCCACAGGCUUCAAGCCGGGUGGACGGCAACAUGCAGCAGAUAUACUCCAGAGGGGCUUUCCUCACGCUGUGCUUGACUCCCGCCGCGCUAACAAGCCUCCACCCCGAGUGCGAGUUCAUCUUCCAGCUGGAGAAAGACGAGCGCCGAUGCCUGCGCUCCAUCGCCGAGCAGGGAAACACGAGCGCUCACGGUUGUCGAGCAUUCUGGGACGCAGUGGUGUGUUGGCCUCACGCUGGAGUCGGGGAAACUGUUUACAGCGCUUGUCCUGCUGUGUUUUCCCUCUUCCGAAACGGCACAGGACAAGUGAGCCGAAAUUGCACCGAUGGAGGUUGGUCCAAACCGUUCCCGCCGUACCACGUCGCCUGCAGGGUGGACGAUGACAUACCAGAGACGGAGCAGAGCUACUUUGCCACCGUGAAAUUGAUCUACACCAUCGGCUACAGUAUCUCGCUGCUGGUGUUGACUGCCGCCGUGGUCAUCCUGCUCUUCUUUAGGAGGCUCCGUUGCGCUAGAAACUUCAUCCACAUCCAACUUUUCCUCACCUUCAUCCUGAAAGCCGCGGCGGUGUUCGUCAAGGACGCCACUCUGUUCUCCAGCGACGACACCAACCACUGCACCCUCUCCACCUUCGCCUGUAAGGCCGCUGUGGUCUUUUGUCACUAUUGCGUCAUGGCCAAUUUCUUCUGGCUCCUGGUGGAGGCGCUCUACCUCACUUCCCUACUGCUUUCCUCGUUUUACCACAGACGACGGUGCCUGUGGGGAUUCAGUCUGCUGGGAUGGGGGGUUCCCGUGUUCUUCAUCGUGCUGUGGAUCGGGUCCAGGGUGUAUUUUGAAGACACAGAAUGCUGGGACAUCAAUGAAGACUCACACUAUUGGUGGAUCAUCAAGGGCCCCAUCGUGGUGUCCAUUGUGGUCAACUUCAUUCUCUUUGUCAACAUCGUUAGAAUUCUGAUCCAGAAGCUGAGUCCGCGACUAAUCCAGUUCAAUAACUCAUCACAGUACAGAUGAAACCAUGCAAAGCGUGUGCGAAAUGGUUGAUGCAUCGCAGCUCGGGCCCGUGAUGAAUUCAUUUAGCCACUGCUCUGCCUCGCUCUCUGCUUCACGAGAGGCUUACGAGGAAACUCAUUGAAAUGAGCUGGCAGAUCAGAGGAAUGUGUUUGGGCACACUGUGUACGUGAUGGAAGAGUGAGAGAGAGGAAGAAAAAAAACAUCCGCCGAUGCCGAGAUGAGUUGCCUGGAGGCGGCUAAAUUGACAAAACACUACUAUUUUUUUCUCAGCACUCUUGUUCUAUUACCGUCAUAAACAUAGACAGAAAUCUUUGGCAGAGAGUGUUCCUGUAAUGGAUACUUACCAGUGCAAGAUGCUACACGUCAUCAGCUAACAUCUUUUUCACUAAGUGAACCAACAUGUGGACUCAUUGUCCAAGACGCCUGACCAAGUCCACCCUGCUGCUCAUCCCCUUGUUUGGCACCCACUACAUCUUUUUCAAUUUCCUGCCUGACUACUUUAACAUAAACCUCCGCCUCUGGGUUGAGCUCUGCAUCGGAUCCUUCCAGG
Syngnathus typhle (broad-nosed pipefish) is the source of this 1663-nucleotide RNA transcript. It is a transcript of the gene named growth hormone releasing hormone receptor, like, with no coding region annotated. The record is from RefSeq and is a predicted model, not a curated record. The transcript has 12 exons. Lineage: Eukaryota; Metazoa; Chordata; Actinopteri; Syngnathiformes; Syngnathidae.